Armigeres subalbatus is the source of this 347-nucleotide long non-coding RNA. RefSeq lists it as uncharacterized. NCBI's taxonomy places the organism in Eukaryota, Metazoa, Arthropoda, Insecta, Diptera, Culicidae. The record is from RefSeq and is a predicted model, not a curated record. The transcript is spliced from 3 exons.
AAAUAAUAAAAUUGUCUGCUUCGCAAGUUGCGGUGGUACGAAAAAGUUUAUGGUGCUCCUCAGCUUUGGGCGCUUUUGGCGAAUACUGUGGUGAGCUGGUUCGAGAGUUUCCCGGCCGGUCAAUAAACUCUACUGAACUGCACACUAAUUGGGCAAAAUGUUUAAAAAAGUGGCUAUUCACAAGGAGACGAUGCAGCAGCACUUUUGGGGCGAUAAACGGCUCAGGUGGCCGAAUUAUAGAAGAAGCUAAAUUACGGCAUGCAUGAACAUUGGUUUGGUAUUCCGUGUUAAAACUCAAUUGAUAGGAUAAGUGGAAUUAUGGAUGCACGUUUUAUGUUUUUUCAAUA